RNAcentral lists this ribosomal RNA (253 nucleotides) under uncultured bacterium. RNAcentral describes it as "partial 16S ribosomal RNA". It matches the Rfam family "Bacterial small subunit ribosomal RNA", at positions 524 to 776 of the family's 1533-position model. The record is from RNAcentral.
UACGGAGGGGGCAAGCGUUGUUCGGAAUUACUGGGCGUAAAGGGCUCGUAGGCGGCCAACUAAGUCAGACGUGAAAUCCCUCAGCUUAACUGGGGAACUGCGUCUGAUACUGGAUGGCUUGAGUUUGGGAGAGGGACGCGGAAUUCCAGGUGUAGCGGUGAAAUGCGUAGAUAUCUGGAGGAACACCGGUGGCGAAGGCGGCGUCCUGGACCAUGACUGACACUGAAAAGCGAAAGCCAGGGGAGCAAACGGG